This 136-nucleotide non-coding RNA is filed under the name Candidatus Gottesmaniibacteriota. The record is from RNAcentral.
GUAUAGGAGGAAAAGGCUGCCCCGAUUGAGAUCGGGGUCCCCGGGAAUGCCGUGAAAAUCGGCAACUGUGCCGCAGCGGUAAUCUCCCAUAAAAAUGGGAGAAAGUCCGAAGACCGAUUAACCUCUUAAAUAUUAA